RNA transcript from Dermochelys coriacea (leatherback sea turtle), 6027 nucleotides. It is a transcript of the gene named synaptotagmin-like protein 4, with no coding region annotated. The record is from RefSeq and is a predicted model, not a curated record. The transcript has 18 exons. Lineage: Eukaryota; Metazoa; Chordata; Testudines; Dermochelyidae.
GCGCGUGCGAGAUCCAGUCCGGGUUUGCCGGCUGCCCGGCCACGGGGCUCAGCCGCUGUCCCGCUGCUGCCGGUGCGAUGAGCUCCCCGGGGGAGAGCUGCGCUCCUCGCGCGCGCCCAGUCGCCUCUGCCCCGUGCCGCCCGCCAGGGACAACUGAACUGCACUUGAGAUGACUUCUAUACUGAGGAGGACACAUGCCAGAAGUUCUGGUGAUUGAUGUCUAAUGUCUGAGUCGGUCCUUCAUCCCUUCUGAGGCAGCUAAAGCCAGUGGGAAGCUCUCUUCUCUAUAUUUGGAUAUUUGAUUGACUGUGUUUGAGGCAAAGGAAGGAACAUAACUGUGGAGAGAGGUUUUGGGGUUUUUUUUUCCCCCUUGGUACAAGCAGGCAUUCUGUAUAGAAAACCAUGCGAGAGAACUGCUUAGUGUCUUGAAGUACGAGUCAAAAUCUUAAUGCAACUUGCCUCCAAGCCAUGCUGUUGUGAAGCAUUUCUUUCAUGCUGUAAUACUGUUUGGCACACUGAGCCCCCUGCUCAGGGAGCUGCUGAUGGCACUCUCACAAUCGGCUCUCAAAUAGUUUCUGGUCUGUCGGUGCUCCAGCUGGCUGGAGAUCAUUACAGAGAAGAUGCUGGACCUAAGCUUUCUGACAGAAGAGGAGUAUGAGAAGCUUAUGAAGGUUCUGCAGAGAGAUGCAGAGCUGAAGAAAAAAGACAGUGAUCGUAUCAGACGAUUACAAGGCUCUCUCAAGGAUGAAAAGAAGAAAAAGUUUGUGACUGGUGAAUGGUUUAAUGAAGUGAAGGCAAAACGUUUUCAAGAGGAAUUAGAGGGGCCAGACCUGCUUCGAGCAUCCAUUAGCAAGAAAAAGGAGAAACAGGAAAAUGAACCUAAUGAACACAUCCGGCAGAGCCUGGAAGGCAGAGCAGCUUCACUGCCAUCAGACGCAACCAGUCCUCUCUUCCCUGAACUCACUCCUGACUUUGGAGCCGAGAGAUCCAGUACAACUGCUUUGGAUUCUUCAGAGGAACAUAAAACCUUGCCAAAGCCAAAACCAAGACACAUCAUGCUGCCACCCUCAUCAAAUGAGAGAUCGAGUGUAAAUGAUAUCUUGCCAGGAGAGAGCAAUGCUGGAAUAAGUACAACAAACUACUGGCAGAUGUCUGAAAAAGGUCAUGAAGUACCUCCAUCGCCUGCCAAGCUCUCAGAAGAGGAUAUGGUUCAGUCCAGUUAUUCUUCUGGGGUGGAGGUUCCUGAUGUGCUCAGUGGCACCCCAGAAAUGCAGAAAGCUCCCUCCAUAGACACUAAUAUUGCCAGCAAGAUACCAGUCAAGAGGAAAGCAAGCAAAGGCCUGUUCAGGUCAGAGACUCCUGUGAAUCCCACAGAGCAGACUGAGGGCAGUCAUGCAAAGAGAGAGUCACUUAAAAGCUCAAAAUCUCUGUCUGGAGAGGAAGACAACAAUCUGGUUCUGAAGCAAGGAGCCAACUAUACCAUCUUUUCCAUGAGCCAUAAAGAUGAGGAAAUCGGCCUAGAUCAUGAACAGUUCAAGAACCUGAGGAACUUUUGGGAGAAAGGUGCUGAUACUGUAGUAGCAGUUAAUGUUUCAGAGGAGUCCUUUGAAAAGCCCAGCGUGGUAGAGUCAAAUGGGAGACCGUUCAUAUUGAGUCGCUCUCUCUCUGUACAGUCUAAUCAAAGCCAAAAUGGUGAAGAAAAGUCCAAUGUCUCCAUGAAAACCAGAAUUCCCUACAAAAGAACAGUAACUUUCUCUUCUAGUGAAGAUGAACCGUGCUACAUAGCCCAUUCAAGGAAGGUCUCUGCCUCCUCUAUGGCCAGGUCUACAUAUGGCAAGAGCAAAGGGGCUGUGGUUGCUAGAAAUAAUUCAUUGACUGAAAGUAAUGGGAGGCAGGAGGAGGAGAGAAAGGCACAACGCUGCUUGAGGAGAUCCAAACUGCCUGUGCGAGUGCCUUCAAUCAAAAUAGAAUCGCCCACGAAAGAGGGGCCAAGCAGCACAUUUGAACCAGAAACGCCUGCCGAUGAGUAUGUCAUGCCUGAAGAAAGCAGGCGCAAAGUGAACUCAUUGGCGAGUAGGAUUCAGAUAUUAAUAGAACCUGUACAUUCAGACAGUGAUAAUGAUAGAGAUAAAAGGUCUGAUUUGGGCAUUCAAGAAAACAUGGAAACUAAUGGAGAGCUGCCUGAGGCUAAGACACGUGAGCCUGCAGAAAACCUAAUGUCCAAGGAACCAACCACGGAGAGAGAAGCGAUUCAAGGAACUGACUCGGCUGUAUUCUCAGAAGAAGGCGGGGAUCAAUCCUCUGAUGCCAUGAGUCUGGCACGAGCGAAUAGCAUUAAUCUAGCCAAGAGCAUGGUGAACAUUUACGCAACCAGUGAGACGUACAAUAAGCCGCAAAUGAUAACUCAUCAACUUCUUGAGCCUGAACGAACCAAAGAGCUGAGCAGAUCCUCCCCUGUCCUUCUAUCUGAGACGGAAUCGGACACUGCUUCAGAAAUCAGCUUCCAGUUUAACAGACACAAAAAGACUCCUAGCAUUGGCAGCCACUCCUCUGACAUGGCAUCAGUCUCUUCGGUAAGUGGUAGCGUUCUCAGCGUCUACAGUGGUGAUUUUGGGAGUGUGGAUGCACAAGGGACUGUUCAGUUUGCUCUGGAUUAUGAUGAGAAAAACCGAGAAUUCCAGAUUUAUGUUUCCCAGUGCAAGGACCUGGCUGUGGUGGAUGAGAAGAAAGGCAGAUCUGACCCGUAUGUCAAAACUUACCUGCUCCCAGACAAAGCUAGAAUGGGCAAGAGAAAAACCUCGGUGAAGAAGAGAACAGUGAAUCCCAUUUACAACGAAGUGUUAAGAUAUAAAAUAGAGAAAAUGGUGUUGCUGAUCCAAAAAUUAAAUCUUUCCGUGUGGCACAAUGACCCACUAGGACGUAACAGCUUCUUGGGAGAGAUAGAAAUAGACCUAGCUAGCUGGGAUUGGAGCAACAAGAAACUCAACUGGUACAUGCUGAAGCCACGGAGCCUUUCUGCCAUUAAUGGUGUGGAUCAUCGAGGAGUGAUGAAUCUGUCUAUUAAAUAUGUCCCACCAGGAAGCUUAGGUCCAAAGAAUCCUUCAUCUGGGGAAGUUCAUAUCUGGGUCAAAGACAGCAAGGACCUCCCACAGUUGCGCCCUUCUGGAGUUGACUCCUUUGUGAAAUGCUAUGUGCUUCCAGACACCAGUAAGAAGAGUUACCAGAAGACCAGAGUUAUUAAAAGAGACCCAAACCCUGUUUUUAAUCACACUAUUGUGUAUGAUGGGUUCCACACAGAAGAUCUGAAAGAUGCCUGUGUUGAGCUGACUCUGUGGGAUCAUGAAAAACUAACCAAUCACUUCCUCGGAGGGAUCAGGCUGGGCCUUGGGACAGGCACUAGCUACGGUAUCUCCGUGGACUGGAUGGACUCCACGCAGGAAGAAGUGGCCUUUUGGCAGGAAAUGAUGUCAGCCUCCAAUGAAUGGAUUGAAGGAUCACUGCCGCUGCGCUCACUGGCAGGGAGGAGGAAACUGAAAUGAAACUUCUGUUGUACAAUUAAAAGUAUGAGCAUAUUCAUUAGAAUUUGGAAGCUCCCCAUGACCAGGGAAUGGAGCCUCUCCCCUAUCUGCACAGGUGUCUGGUUAAUUAGAUAAUGAUUGCAUUGUGCUUUAAAGAUGGCAGGUGCUAAGUGGUGUUAAUCUCCCAGUAGAGGCUUUAGAAGAUGCUAAAGUGAUGCUAUGCUUGAUUUUAGCAAAAAGCCAAGAAAACACAUUGGUUACUUUUGUUAAUCAUUUAUAUACUCUUAGAUUUCAUUAGUCCCAGUACAUUGGCAGGGAAGAAGUGUAAAUAUAUAUAUAUUUUUUAAUACAGGGUUUUUUUUGUUACUGGAUUUUGUGCUGUUUUUAUGUGCAGUGAGACAGUUGUAAUAAAGCUGCAGCUUGGCAUUAUCCAUAUUCCCUUUCAAGUGGUACGCUUCAUACUGGAUGCAGCAUUGCAAGCAUCAUCUCAGAAUGGGACCUUGCCAUCCAUCACUGAUUAUAAUGUGGCUAUGACUCAGGAAAAAAAAUCCACUUUAGAUUGCUUUGAGAUCCAAGGUGAACCUGCAGAAAGAGGACUGUUUGGAGCAGACAAUGUAGCAACAUGACUAAGAUAUCAGAGAAGAAUUCAACAAAUUUAAUUCCAUACUACUUUUAUUUGGAAGUGAGGAAUGAUGGUCUUGCAGCUAAUGUACCAGCCCAGGACUCAGUAGAUAUAGGUUCUGUUCCCAGCCUUGCCAAACUUCCUCUGUGACCUUGGGCAAGUCACUUACUUAAAGGAAAACUGCAGUGGAAUAUAAAUUAGGUUGCACUCAGCCAAAUAUAAAAUAUGAUUAAAUCACUGCUGGGCCAAAUCAGUUCUUUCAAAUGCCUUGUGUAUAUAAAAUAUUAAGGGUGAAAUUAUGAUAUGUAGCAAGCAGCUUUUGUGUCAGCCUGAUGAGGUGUAUAGAGAGGUCAAAACUGCAGCCACAAAACAAGGAAAGGAGAGAGAUUUUUGGAACUGAUGGGAAAGAUAAUGAUUUACAGUGUCUAAAUUUAUGAUGAAUGUGCCAAAACUGCUGUUUACACACACAAAAAGUAAUUUGAAAAGUUCAUGCAAGUAUUUAUUUCAUAUCAGCAUUAGUGCCACAUCUAAGAAUCAGUUAUUUCCUAAUAUGGUGCCAACAAAGUUAAAUAAUCAUUGUUACAGGGCCAAGUUCAUCCCUGGUGUCAAAGUUUGGAUGAGUUUAGCCCAAGAUAUUGUGAUCUGGAUAUUUUUGUUUUAAGGUGCAUUGUUUUUUUUGUGGGUUUUUUUGGUAAAUUAAGCCCUGAUUUAUUUCAGAAGCUUUUAGUAUUUAUUAGCGCAUCAGAGUAAAAGAUUACACCGCCAAGCAUAAUACAGUGGUACCAUAGUCAUGUAUUAUGUAUGAGGUCAUAUCUGCUUCACUUAUGAGAAAAAGCACUUUAUCUGCAAAAAUGCAAGGCACUUUGUCACAUGUCAGUGUCAUACAUAGGAGUGGAGGAACCUGUAGCAAAUAAAAGUUUAAUGGCCUUUGGUAUGGGUCUUACAUUGACAUUUGUAAUCUGUAAAUGCUGCCUGCAAGAGGUAAAGUAUCUAAAUGUUAUAGGCUGCUAUAGCACAGGUCCAUGUUAACAUGUGCUGCAGAUUAAUUUGGAAACGUACCAAAAGGAUGCUAUUGUAUUUAUUUUUUGUAUGAUGGACUAAAAGUCCCUUCACGAGAUAGGGCAUUUACUAUGUAUAGUAAAUAUAUUUAGGUCCAUAAUGCCUCUGGAUAUAAACAUGCAACUUUGUUGAAGUCAGGUGUGUCUUUGCAUGCAGCUGAAACCAAAAUUAUUGUCCUUAGGGCUUGAUCCUGCAACCGCCAAUUACUGGUGGGACACAAGUAAUCCUAUUGUCCGGAGUAGGCCUACCUGUGUGAGUUACAGGAUCUGGCCCUUUUUUAAAUGGAAAAAGUUAAUAGCAUGACUAGAGCUGGGCAAAUUCUGCAGGGAAAAGCUUCCCAUGACCAUUCUUCUGCAUUCAUGAGUGCAUGUGCUUUCCUGGUGCUCAUACCCCUUUCAUAUCUGCUUUUUGCAGAUAUCUUGCAAGUGAAUUUACAAGCAGGAGUGUUUUGCUCAAAUAGCAAAUUUCUAAUUCACCAGUAGCAGGACGUGUAUAAGAAGCCAGCUUAUAAGAAGCUUUGCUCCUCCAGUCAGAAAACAGAAGCAUAUCAUGUGACCUGUGUCUAAUCAGACCUGCUCAGAUUAUUAACCAGCUACUUGGAACAAACAGCUCAUGAACAAUCUUUGGACAAAUUAUUCACCAAAUUAAUGUUGGUAAUCUGGAAGAGUAUCUAGGGAUUCACGGUCUGUACUUGGAAAAGUCAACAUUGGUUAAGUAAAGUAUCUAUUACGAAGUGUUUGUCCAGCUCUACUCUUGACCAAGACAGAGAGAAAAGCAAAACUGAUCUUAUUGUGAAACUUAUAAGCUGCAGAGAGAAAUAUUAGUAGA